GGGAAUUUUCCGCAAUGGGCGAAAGCCUGACGGAGCAAUGCCGCGUGGAGGUGGAAGGCCUACGGGUCGUCAACUUCUUUUCUCGGAGAAGAAACAAUGACGGUAUCUGAGGAAUAAGCAUCGGCUAACUCUGUGCUAG
This 139-nucleotide ribosomal RNA is filed under the name uncultured bacterium. RNAcentral describes it as "partial 16S rRNA". It matches the Rfam family "Bacterial small subunit ribosomal RNA", at positions 357 to 511 of the family's 1533-position model. The record is from RNAcentral.